AGAGUUUGAUCCUGGCUCAGAUUGAACGCUGGCGGCAUGCCUUACACAUGCAAGUCGAACGGUAACAGCACUUCGGUGGCUGACGAGUGGCGAACGGGUGAGUAAUACAUCGGAACGUGCCCGAGAGUGGGGGAUAACGCAGCGAAAGCUGUGCUAAUACCGCAUACGAUCUACGGAUGAAAGCAGGGGACCGCAAGGCCUUGCGCUCAUGGGGCGGCCGAUGGCAGAUUAGGUAGUUGGUGGGAUAAAAGCUUACCAAGCCGACGAUCUGUAGCUGGUCUGAGAGGACGACCAGCCACACUGGGACUGAGACACGGCCCAGACUCCUACGGGAGGCAGCAGUGGGGAAUUUUGGACAAUGGGCGAAAGCCUGAUCCAGCCAUGCCGCGUGCAGGAUGAAGGCCUUCGGGUUGUAAACUGCUUUUGUACGGAACG
RNAcentral lists this ribosomal RNA (435 nucleotides) under uncultured bacterium. RNAcentral's name for it is "bacterial SSU rRNA". It matches the Rfam family "Bacterial small subunit ribosomal RNA", at positions 8 to 447 of the family's 1533-position model. The record is from RNAcentral.